AGUUAUUUAUUGACAGUCAAACGAACUGUGUCUUACUUUUGCAAAUUCUUCGAGCUUCCUUAAUAUUUGUAGAUGGUGCUCCAUAAAGUAUACUUGAUGACGGCUAACGGAAUCGCAUUAGGAUGUUCGAAUUGGGAAUACUAUGUUAUUUAAAGACUUUUCGCAGAUUUUAUUGGCCAAAUAAAUGUUGACCAUUUUACAAGUCAUAAGUGAGGUAAAUCUGUUUAAGGGUCGCUAAGUAAGUGGCCUUUUCUGGCUGCCAACUUUCACUUGAUUCCCGAUCGCAGCAUACCACCCCCUCUUUAAGACUCCUUUAAUGCUCGCGCACGCAAUGUGUCCCCCAGCAGGAUGCAUCCUGGGAGCGCCAGCUCCCGCUUCUCGGAAGGCCGAUAAGCCGACGCUAUCAACGCCUUACAUCCGCGCGUGUCUGGGCAAUGGGUUUACCCCUGCCCACCGCAUCGCGCAUCCUUAGCUCCACCCGCUUCCAGCAUCCUGCAUCCGCUUCCGCUGCAUCUGCCGGAGCUUGCUAUCCUGCUUUAGCCAGAUUUACAACCAAGCGAACUUCGCAAAUUCCGUUGCUGCACGGAGAUAAAAUCGUUAUGCUUAUGCAAAUUUUAUAAGCAAUUGUAGGGUUUAGAAAUGUAUUUAUAGUUUUUUUUAAAAGCUAUUUUUGGUGUCGAGUAAGUGUCAUCAGUAUUUGGAAUUAUUACAUCUUUUGGCUUAAGUACUGACCAAAUCUUUGCAUUUUUUAAGGUGUGUGAGAGUGUGUGCUAAGCUGCGGCCCCGCCGGAAAGUGAAAUGCUUAUGAAAGCGUCCGGCUGCCCCAGCCACCCAGCUAUUUGACCUUCUUUGGCGCAUUUGCCAUGCAAAAUUUAAUAUAUAACCGUAAGUGAGCUUGGAUUCCUGCUAAUUUGCCAGUUGAAGUAUGCUCGAAAAGGAAGUCCCAGGGAUGCGGGCUGCAAAGUAUGUGUGGAUAUCCUCUUUUCCGGCUCUUAGCCCUUACAGAUUCUAGUGUUCCAAAAAAAAAGAUAAACAAUGAAGUCUUGACCCAGUUCGGAGUUGCUUUUUGCGCUGCCCGCUGUCAUCAUCAUCUAUGUGGUGUGGGUGGUGCCAAAUCCACCAACUUUACAUACAAAAACGGACGCUUACCAAAAUUGAGACAGCUACCGGGAAUACAUGGUGGUACGAGCUAACCCGAUACAUUUUCUUUAGAUUUUUUCCUUUUUCUUUUUUUUUUUUUUGGGUUGGUUGAUAUAGGGCAAAGUGCAGUCAGACAGUCAUUGGAUCAUUUGUCUUGGCAUUGUUGCUUUUUCCUCUACAUUUCUUUUUUGGUCGUUCGUUUUUAUAUAAAGCUGCGGGUCUUUCUUCAGGCAUUUCAGUUCAAAGGGUCAGAUAAAGAAA
Molecule: non-coding RNA, 1401 nt
Organism: Drosophila melanogaster (fruit fly)
Lineage: Eukaryota; Metazoa; Arthropoda; Insecta; Diptera; Drosophilidae
Source: Ensembl